RNAcentral lists this microRNA (22 nucleotides) under Canis lupus familiaris (dog). RNAcentral describes it as "cfa-miR-10b". Its record names the gene cfa-miR-10b. RNAcentral also lists the same sequence under 2 other names. The record is from miRBase by way of RNAcentral. Lineage: Eukaryota; Metazoa; Chordata; Mammalia; Carnivora; Canidae.
CCCUGUAGAACCGAAUUUGUGU